UACGGAGGGUGCAAGCGUUGUUCGGAUUUAUUGGGCGUAAAGCGCGUGUAGGCGGUCUCUUAAGUCUGAUGUGAAAGCCCCGGGCUCAACCCGGGAAGUGCAUUGGAUACUGGGAGACUUGAAUACGGGAGAGGGUAGUGGAAUUCCUGGUGUAACGGUGAAAUGUGUUGAUAUCAGGAGGAACACCCAUGGCGAAGGCAGCAGACUGGGCAUCGCCUGACGCUGAGGUGCGAAAGCGUGGGUAGCAAACAGG
This 253-nucleotide ribosomal RNA is filed under the name uncultured bacterium. RNAcentral's name for it is "partial 16S ribosomal RNA". It matches the Rfam family "Bacterial small subunit ribosomal RNA", at positions 524 to 776 of the family's 1533-position model. The record is from RNAcentral.